UAACCCGGAAAUAAACCGGAAGUCACCCUGGACCGCAAAGGAUUAUGGUCUAUUGGAAAGUCGAAAAUGUUUGUCGAAAUAAUGCGCCAAAUAAACUGAAGUGUUGUUUCGUUUAUUAAAGACGGCCUAAGUGAGCUAACAAAGAAAUCAUCAGUCCACAAAAGAAUCAACCAGGGAAGGAGAAAAACAUUCAAAGCUGCCAAUUGCCAAGUCCAUCACCGGCCUAAAGGAGCUAACAAAAAAAUCAUCAGUCCACUAAAGAAUCAACCAGUGAAGGAGAAAAACAUUCAAAGCUGUAAAUUGCCAAAUCCAUCAGUUGGAAGAUGGAUGUCAAAGUCUCAGACAAAAGCUUCCAGAGUUAAGGAAAGAACACUUCAACAAAAACAAGCACGAGAAGAAUGACUGCAAAAAAGCUUUUCGCAGAUUCGUUUCCUCAUCAAGUGUAUUUAAGGAAAAUGGACCUGUCUAUAGACUAUACAGAGACUAGAUGUAAAUGUCAAGGACUGCAAUGAGCAAUUCAAUGACUCCUUUCUAAUUGUGUCAAGUGUCAUAAAAAAUUAAAACUGUUAUAAAUGGA
Molecule: long non-coding RNA, 577 nt
Organism: Mya arenaria
Lineage: Eukaryota; Metazoa; Mollusca; Bivalvia; Myida; Myidae
Exons: 4
Source: RefSeq, a predicted model, not a curated record